GGCGGCGCGGCUACACAUGCAGUCGAGCGGAGGAUUUAAGAUGUUUACAUCGAGGAUCCUUAGCGGCGGACGGGUGAGUAACACGUGGGUAACCUGCCUCAAAGUGGGGGAUAGCCUUUCGAAAGGAAGAUUAAUACCGCAUAAGCCUCCGGCGUCGCAUGGCGCUGAAGGAAAAGGAGCAAUCCGCUUUGAGAUGGACCCGCGGCGCAUUAGCUAGUUGGUGAGGUAACGGCUCACCAAGGCCACGAUGCGUAGCCGACCUGAGAGGGUGAUCGGCCACAUUGGAACUGAGACACGGUCCAGACUCCUACGGGAGGCAGCAGUGGGGAAUAUUGCACAAUGGGCGAAAGCCUGAUGCAGCAACGCCGCGUGAGUGAUGAAGGCCUUCGGGUCGUAAAGCUCUUUGAUCAGGGAUGAUAAUGACAGUACCUGAAAAACAAGCCACGGCUAACUACGUGCCAGCAGCCGCGGUAAUACGUAGGUGGCGAGCGUUGUCCGGAAUUACUGGGCGUAAAGGAUGCGUAGGUGGAUAUUUAAGUGGGAUGUGAAAUCCCCGGGCUCAACCCGGGAACUGCAUUCCAAACUGGGUAUCUAGAGUGCAGGAGAGGAAAGCGGAAUUCCUAGUGUAGCGGUGAAAUGCGUAGAUAUUAGGAGGAACACCAGUGGCGAAGGCGGCUUUCUGGACUGUAACUGACACUGAGGCAUGAAAGCGUGGGUAGCAAACAGGAUUAGAUACCCUGGUAGUCCACGCCGUAAACGAUGGGUACUAGGUGUAGGAGGUAUCGACCCCUUCUGUGCCGCCGUUAACACAAUAAGUACCCCGCCUGGGGAGUACGGUCGCAAGAC
Molecule: ribosomal RNA, 846 nt
Filed under: uncultured bacterium
Lineage: Bacteria
Description: bacterial SSU rRNA
Rfam family: Bacterial small subunit ribosomal RNA
Source: RNAcentral